This 6575-nucleotide long non-coding RNA is filed under the name Sus scrofa (pig). Its description in RNAcentral is "lncRNA (ENSSSCG00015036672.1)". Lineage: Eukaryota; Metazoa; Chordata; Mammalia; Artiodactyla; Suidae. The record is from RNAcentral.
UUUUUUUUUUUUUUUUUUUUUUUUUGGUUUUGGCCGAGCCCAUGGUAUGUGGAAGUUCCCCAGACCAGAGAUCUAACCAGUGCUACAGCAAUGAUCCAAGUCACAGCAGUGACAACGCCAGAUCCUUAACCCACUGAGCCAGCCACCAGGGAACUUUGUAGUCUGGACUCUUAGUUUGUUUCCCUGGAAUAUUUCACUGUCUGCAAUCUGGUUCCUCCCUCUCCUUCUGUCCAUCUGCCCUGCAUGUUGCUAUGAAAGCAUCUCUCAUCAGCACAGAUUGAGGAGGCAUUGCUCCUGGUUCCCUGGUUUCUGCUCACUACGACCUAAUUCAUCAUUCCACAAGCAGCUGUGACCAUCUGAGGUUCACCACACCACGCUGCCAAGUCAAUCUUUAAUCACAUUCUAUUUUUUUCCCCUUUUCAUGCCUUUCUUUACUCUGUUCUCUAUUCUGGGCAUUUCAACAUCACCUCGUCUGAAAAUCCCUCUGUGACUUGCCCACCCUGAGUUAGUGGGUAGCCUCUGAUCUCCCAGAGGCCCUUGCGUGGACCUCAAGUAUGGCACUUAGCACAUGACAUUGUAAAUCUCCCAACUAUUACACUGAGAUCCUUCAGGUGAAGAAUGUUCGAUGAGCACCCUGGUACAGAGUGGUAUUCAGUGCAUGUAUGUUGGCUUAGUGAAGCAAUCACCCAAUAUGCUAACCGAGCAGUCACAACUCCGUCAAAGCAGUUUGCUGUCUGUGUAACAACAAAAGCUUUAAAAGAGAUGAUUUCUUUUAAUACACCUACCCUUUCAUAAUACCUGAGAAGAGUGUGGUAGAAAGUAUUGAAAAUCAAUGCCAUGUCUCCUGAAAAGGUAGAGAGAUCCAUCCUGGCCCCUGGACUAUAAAUAUUAUUUGGGUUUUGGUUCAUAUAUACGUUUAUCUUUAAUAACAAUCUUAAAAAAAAAUAAAUGACAGGGUGGGAAUUUAAUUGCUUGAGAUGUUUACUUUUCCAGAAUAGAAACAAUAAAGAGAACGGAAUUAAAUUCAUCGGCCAGACACUUGGGCUAUUUGUGGAUAUACCCUAAGGCUCCAGGCGAUGGUGAUAACCAGCUCUCUGGGCUGGUAGGGGGGCGGGUAGGGGGAGAGAAAGCCACAAUUUUGUAGUAUUUGCCAAUUUCCAUAGUGCGAAUUCUCCCACCUUGGUGGAUUUCAAGCCACCAAGGUAAAGUCACUGCGUAUAGAGUUGGGACCUGGUGCAAGUCAGGUCCAGCAUCAGACCAGUGUGUAUGGACUGGGAUGCCCAGAUGAGGCGGCAAAAAAAACCUAGUGCUCCUGCUUCUCUGUAUGGGGCUGUCCUUGUCAUGCAUUUGUUUGCUUCUUUGUUUUAGCCAAAAAGAUGGAGUUUAGCAUCAGAACAACCUGGCAGGAAUGCAGGCUCUGCCUUAGAGGUUCAGCACUGGGCAAGUUGCUUAAUGUGUCAGUCUCCGCAUCUGCCAACAGGACUUGUAAUAUAAUAACAACCUUUCGGUGUCGUUAGAUAUGUCAUACUACCCGCCGAGGGCUUAUGUAGCACUUGGCACUGAGUGAGCACUUGGUAAAUAGUAUCAAUGGAUGCUGGUGAAGAAGAAAAUAAAAAUAAUAUUCCUUUGUUCUCAGCAGUGGGUGAGGAGGGAUAGUCCCCUGAGAUUCAGGUGCUUAGUUUGGUGCUAGUAUCAUGUUAACCAGCUUCCUGGCUUCUCCCUUCUGGCUGCUACUGACUCCAGUUCCUAUUUAUCUGGCUGGUUCUUUGGGCUCUGCCUCAUUCUUCCUCUUCACCUCCUGUGGGGCUUGGGGCUGGUUGUUGCACAGACUUGUGUAACUUCACCUGCGACAUGUGUGUUUUCUUAGUUUUCAUUUUCACUUGGUCUGUCUCAUCAUGACCCAACUCCCUUGAUGUGGGGGACUAGUCUAAGCAUUUUUUUCAAAAAUAUAUACCUGAGGAGUUCCCUGGUGGCUCAAUGGUUUAAGGAUCCAGUGUCGUCACUGCUGUGGCUCUGGUUAAGGCUAUGCCAUAGGUUGGAUCCAAGGCUUUCACAUCAUCCAUCCUCGAAGGCUGGGGAAUCUGCGUCUAUCCUGGGACUCGGCAGCUGCACAGUCUCCCCCUCGGCUCGGCUAUCAGGUGCCCCCUGGGCAAACUCCUUUCUUCCUCUGCCUUUUUCUUGAGGACUCAGAGUCUACUGGGUACCAGGCACUGCAUGAGGCAUUUUGCUGUGUUUUUUCAUCAAAUCCUUCCAGUAAUUCUGUGAAGCGGCUAGUAUCAUACACCCCUUUUAUAGUGGAGAGGCUGAGAUGCCAAGAGAUUAAGGAGCUUGCUUAAGGCCAGAGAGCUAGUACCUGGCAGAGCUGAAGCUGGGAUCUCUGAGCUGAGACUUCCUUUUCUAGACAAUUCACUGCCUGACCCCAAUUUUCCUGCCUGACCACAGUCCCACAGAGGCAUCUCUUUUGUACUCCCAGUGUAGAAUCCACAUUCAAUUUCUUAAUUAAAGAAGUUCCCGAUUUAGGGGAACAUCACAAAUGUAAUCGCCUUGUAUUAUCCUUUUCUAUUUUUUAAUCGUUUUCUUUUUUCUCUCUCUCUCUUUCUUAAAGAGCUUCGGCACAUGGAUUUGACAUUUUAAUCAGCCUCUGAUGAUUGGGAGUUUGUGUCUGCUCUAGGCCUCAGCCCCAGCUGCUCACCGCCUGUGCGAAUGUGAUUGGAAAUCAGAGGGAAUCAGUCUCAAACUGAGAAAACACCAGUGGUCCAUCAGUCACUUUCUGAGAAAAUAGUUACUCCUGGAAAUGCCAUCAUUCCUGAAUCCACUUCUCUGCAGAAGUGAAGAGUCUAAGUGGAUCCCUCAGAGCAGCUUUGACACUGAACAUGCAGAGGAGGAGUGAUGGUGCAGGAAGGCAGGAGGGUUCUUUGAGCAAGGGGGACACACGGGAGCCAGAAGGAAAGAACACAGUUAGUGGUUGGUACCCAGGUAGAAGGGCAUUCUACUGUAUUUUCUACACGUUCUCUUGGCUCCCAGUGUAACUUCAUGGUUGGGCUGUGAGAACUUGCACCUGGCCUUGUUCUUUAAUGGUUAAUAGGACUCUGAUUUUUAAAGCCAAAGGGUUCAAAAGGGUCCUAUUGAAAUAAAAUACUAUAUGGAGCUCCUGUGAUGGCUCAGUGGACACGAAGCCGACUAGUAUCCAUGAGGAUGUGGGUUCGAUCCCUGGCCUCACUCAGUGGGUUAAAGAUCUGGCAUUGCCAUGAGCUCUGGUGUAGGUUGCCUAUGUGACUCAGAUCCCGCGUUGCUGUGGCUGUGGUAUAGGCUGGCAGCUGCAGCUCCGAUUUGACCGACCCCUAGCCUGGGAACUUCCAUAUGCUGCAGGUGCCACCCUAAAAAGACAAAAAGGAAGAAGAAAGAAAUAGAAUACUAUAGACUGAUAGCUCUAUUGCAAAUGAUUCUUUGUACUGCAAGUAUCCAUCUAUAAAUCCUUUCUCAGCGGGCAGUGGUAGCCAGGCAUACCUGGGUACUUCCUGAGACUGUGUUUUGUUUAGUCUUAUCUCAUCAGCCCCGCAAGGAUCUCUUUCUGCCCCCACAUUGGCAGAGAUUCUCACAGGUGCUCACAGGUGAAUUACAGGGGAACUUCUCUGGCUCCCAUAGUUUCUAAAAGCCAGCAGCAUGCUGAGUGCUGCUCAGAAUGGGGAGCCCCAAAAGCCCCCAGUGUGGAGCAAGUCGGCCUCCAGAAAGCCUAGGAGCCCAUGGCCAGCGAAAGCCUAGGAGGCCAUAAAAGAAGGCAGAGCGGAGGGAUGGAGAGAGGCAGUCAUCGCACACAGGAAAUCUACCUGGGGGCCGUACUCACUGCAGGCCUGUCUGUGGCAUGUUCUACAGAUGGAAACAAGGAAAUCCAGUCCCUGUCAGCUUCAAGAUCACCCUCAAGGUCACCCUCUUCUUGGGAUCCCAGGUGCUCACGCUCGGAUUCUGCUGUGUCCCAAGCCCAACAGUUUACAUAACUGGACCAGGCAUUUCUUCAUUGUUUAACAAGCAGGUGUUGGUGACCUUUCACAAUCUCCCAGCCCUCGGCCAAGGUAACCCCCGUGUCCAUGUCUCUGGAUGCAUGUCUGCACAUGUGCGCAGAAGUUCAUGUGCGGUACAGGCAAAUACAGGGGUGUGGUGGUCGGGCUUUGGGGCCACUCCAGAGCAUUUUUAAAGCCCUUCGAAUGCCUAUCUUCAGGAUAGGGGAUUUCCUCUACAAAUAGGUAACCCCAACAGAUCUUAACUUCCAGAGCAGCAUGUGCCUCCAGUGGGAGGCAGCAACUUAAGGGAAAAUGCUACCGAUUAUCAUGUGCUUCUGUUUCCUUAGGGAUGUGUGUUCCGGAAGAGAAAACAUUGGCAUCCUAUCCAUCAAAGCAGAGAACACACUGUUUUAUCUCUUUCCCUAGAAGUUUCAGGAAUUUCCAUUCUAUCCGGUGGGAGUUGACACAUCCUUCGAAGAUAAUCUGUUUCAGCCUCCAUCUUAUGUACCACAUGUUCCUGACGCAUAUUCUUAUGUUAAGGAAGAGAUCUUCCUUUAUUGAAAAUGACAUUGUUGGAAAUCAACAAUCAGGCAUCAGUUGGCCCACUCUCGCACUUAAAAGCCAGAAAACUCCUAAUGUUUCUUAACUUCUAUUUGGCCUUCUGAUAAAGUUGUAAGUAUGUGGUUAGCAGGUGGCUGGUGGCCGAACCUAAUGGCCAGGGUGUCUGGUCUGAUCUGUGUCAGGGGGAUGAUUGGCAUCCUUCAGUCGUGCCUUCAUCUGAGUUAUGCUCUUUUGAAGUGACAAGACAGAUCUUGUGUGUGUGUUCUGAGUGUGGCUUUGGGGAAUGUUGAUAUGGGGAUUGUAAAUACUUGCGAGCCAAGAGUGGGUGCAUACAGAGACAGAAAGGUGGCACCCACAUACUGUGACCAUAUAAGGCUGUAAAGUCAAAGGAAGGAGCUAGGGUUGGUGUAAAUAAAGAGCAGAGAGAAUCGGGGUUAAUCAGAACAGAAACUCUCUGUGCCUUUGUGGAUAUGCACCUGGCUAGGGGCCAGGUUUAGAUGGGGAGUUCAGGCUGACAGACAACAGCCUGAAGUUUCUGGCUGUGAAUUAUUUUCCUUCAUCUUGUGUCUGCUGGUAUCACCCUUAGCUAAACAAUAUCAUUCACAUGAGGCCACUGGUUUCAAAAUAAGUGACUUCCUCAAAAAAAAAAAAAAGCAUUCAUGCUCGAAAUUCAGCAAUCUCUAUUAUGCAUUUCUAAAGACUUAAAAUAUUAUAGAUUUGUUUUCCUCGGACCCUGGAAACUUUCUCAGGAUGCGGUUAGGAAUGUUGCCUUUUCUUGUUCAUAGUAUCAGUUAAGGUGCUAUAUCUUAGUAUGUUAUCAUUUUGAUACAAGGGGCUAAGAAACACUAACAGGAAAACAAUCCCUGCCCCCAAAAUAAUCCUAUUCACUUACAUGGCUGUGGCCAAUGGGUGAAUUACUGCCCACAACAUUCUGUGAUAGUGGUGAGAAUGAGGCACAGCCAGGAAAUGGGACCAGAGUUAAGUAAAAUCAAGUUCCUAUUUUCACAGGGCCACCAUGACAAGUGUGAGGCAAAUGCCAACAGACUCGUUGUUGCAGGAAAACGUGCUGAGGCCAAGGCAGAAGAAAGCACAGGAUGCUGGGCGAUGGCCGGACAGCCAGAAAAAAUCCCGGAUGGGCAGGUCCAGCGAAGCCCAGGGAAUGGGAGUGGCUUCGUGGGGUGCGUGCGGGCCUGACACUCCUGGGAGAGGGGGCUGUCGAGGCUGGGAGAGCCCAGCCUGGCCAGGAAGAGAAACCACACUGGUACCGUGGGGGUCAAGCCCUGCAUGGGAAAGUGGGGACAAAGCCCAGCCAGGAACGCUAGCCUGACUGUGAGCCCGUGAGGUGGCCUGUACUCCCAAUGGGGCACAUUUUCCUAAUUUGUCCACUCGGAGGGGAGCCUUUUGCUUGUUCUAAUUGGUAUAAGGUACUUACAGAUUGUGACCCAGUUACAUGUCACUGGCCUUUCAGGACACCUUAGAGCAUUUCUUCUAAGAGCUGCAAAUAAUUGUACUGAGAACUGUACGAAAGAAAUGGUUCUCUAAGCUGGGGUGACUAAAGCAGGAGAGGUCUCCCAUGAGCUGACCCAUCUUGGAUGGAGCCCUGCAUCCAGGGCAGCUCAGGGUUUGAGCAGAGGGAGCUGGGAUUGAGAUGGAAAUGGAGAGGCUGCCUGGCCCCCUGGACGAGGGUCUGAGCCAAUCUCUCUUGGCUCCAGCCUGGUCCAUAAGCUGGGAAACUGGGAUGGGACACACGCCUGCAGUAAGAGGAGUUUGGGUCUCCAAGCAGCAGGGUCAUCUGUUCUCCUCCGGACCACUGCAGAUGUGUAGCAUCCUUUAUACCUGGACAUGGAUGCAGGGAGGGGAAGUGAGCAGUUCUUGGGCGGGAUGAUGUAAGGGGACCAGCACUGAUUGCCAACUCUAUGGGGGCGGGGACAGGGAGUUGGCUCAUGGAAGAUGCUCCAUAGAGCAUCUUGGAGCAAAGGGAGGAGGGGAGGGAGGGAGUGAAUGGUGGCUGGACUG